This 477-nucleotide ribosomal RNA is filed under the name Candidatus Scalindua marina (nom. nud.). Its description in RNAcentral is "bacterial SSU rRNA". It matches the Rfam family "Bacterial small subunit ribosomal RNA", at positions 365 to 832 of the family's 1533-position model. The record is from RNAcentral. Lineage: Bacteria; Pseudomonadati; Planctomycetota; Candidatus Brocadiia; Candidatus Brocadiales; Candidatus Scalinduaceae.
UUCGCAAUGCCCGAAAGGGUGACGAAGCGACGCCGCGUGGGUGAGGAAGGCCUUCGGGUUGUAAAACCCUGUCAGGAGUUAAGAAAUGUAAGUUCGUUAAUACCGAAUUUACUGGACAAAGGCUCCAAAGGAAGCCACGGCUAACUCUGUGCCAGCAGCCGCGGUAAUACAGAGGUGGCGAGCGUUGUUCGGAAUUAUUGGGCGUAAAGAGCACGUAGGUGGGUUUGCAAGUCAGAUGUGAAAGCCUUCUGUUCAACGGAAGAAUUGCAUCUGAAACUACAAACCUUGAGUAUAGGAGGGGAGAAUGGAACUUCUGGUGGAGCGGUGAAAUGCGUAGAUAUCAGAAGGAACGCCGGCGGCGAAAGCGAUUCUCUGGCCUAUUACUGACACUCAGUGUGCGAAAGCUAGGGGAGCAAACGGGAUUAGAUACCCCGGUAGUCCUAGCCGUAAACGAUGGGCACUAAGUAGAGGGGUUUU